UAGGGAAUCUUCCGCAAUGGACGCAAGUCUGACGGAGCAACGCUGCGUGAGUGAAGAAGGAUUUCGGUUCGUAAAACUCUGUUGUUAGAGAAGAACAGCGCAUAGAGUAACUGUUAUGCGUGUGACGGUAUCUAACCAGAAAGCCACGGCUAACUACGUGCCAGCAGCCGCGGUAAUACGUAGGUGGCAAGCGUUGUCCGGAUUUCUUGGGCGUAAAGCGAGCGCAGGCGGUCAAUUAAGUCUGAUGUGAAAGCCCCCGGCUCAACCGGGGAGGGUCAUUGGAAACUGGUUGACUUGAGUGCAGAAGAGGAGAGUGGAAUUCCAUGUGUAGCGGUGAAAUGCGUAGAUAUAUAGAGGAACACCAGUGGCGAAGGCGACUCUCUGGUCUGUAACUGACGCUGAGGCUCGAAAGCGUGGGUAGCAAACAGG
Molecule: ribosomal RNA, 429 nt
Filed under: Bacteroidota bacterium
Lineage: Bacteria; Pseudomonadati; Bacteroidota
Description: Bacteroidetes bacterium partial 16S ribosomal RNA
Rfam family: Bacterial small subunit ribosomal RNA
Source: RNAcentral